RNAcentral lists this unclassified non-coding RNA (334 nucleotides) under soil metagenome. Its description in RNAcentral is "partial contains 5.8S ribosomal RNA, internal transcribed spacer 2, and large subunit ribosomal RNA". The stretch from base 1 to 120 matches the Rfam family "5.8S ribosomal RNA", at positions 35 to 154 of the family's 154-position model. The record is from RNAcentral.
GAUGAAGAACGUAGCGAAAUGCGAUAAGUAAUGUGAAUUGCAGAAUUCAGUGAAUCAUCGAAUCUUUGAACGCACAUUGCGCCAGCCAGUACUCUGGCGAGCAUGCCUGUUCGAGCGUCAUUUCAACCAUCAAGCCCCAGGCUUGUGUUGGAGCCCUGCGGCUGCCGCAGCCUCCCAAAACCAGUGGCGGGCUCGCUAUCACACCGAGUGCAGUAGUUUACUCUUCGCUCAGGGCGUGUGGCGGGUGCUAGCCGUGAAACCCCCAACUUCUCAAGGUUGACCUCGGAUCAGGUAGGAAUACCCGCUGAACUUAAGCAUAUCAAUAAGCGGAGGA